RNAcentral lists this non-coding RNA (118 nucleotides) under Caryophanon tenue. Its description in RNAcentral is "SAM-I sequence". It matches the Rfam family "SAM riboswitch aptamer (S box leader)". From Rfam's summary of the family: The SAM riboswitch is found upstream of a number of genes which code for proteins involved in methionine or cysteine biosynthesis in Gram-positive bacteria. Lineage: Bacteria; Bacillati; Bacillota; Bacilli; Caryophanales; Caryophanaceae. The record is from Rfam by way of RNAcentral.
CUCUUAUCCCGAGCUGGUGGAGGGUCAGGCCCUAUGAAACCCGGCAACCUGCAAUAUACGUUGACGUAUAGCGUGUUGGUGCCAACCUGAUGCAAGGAUCUUCCUUGAACGAUAAGAG